RNAcentral lists this transfer RNA (67 nucleotides) under Lepidopsocidae sp. RS-2001. Its description in RNAcentral is "tRNA-Cys". Lineage: Eukaryota; Metazoa; Arthropoda; Insecta; Psocodea; Lepidopsocidae. The record is from RNAcentral.
GGUUUAAUAGUUUAUUUAAGAAUUUUAAAUUGCAAGUUUAAAGGAAUAAUUAAUGUUAUUUAAAUUU